This 441-nucleotide ribosomal RNA is filed under the name uncultured bacterium. Its description in RNAcentral is "partial 16S ribosomal RNA". It matches the Rfam family "Bacterial small subunit ribosomal RNA", at positions 338 to 795 of the family's 1533-position model. The record is from RNAcentral.
CCUACGGGAGGCAGCAGUGGGGAAUAUUGGGCAAUGGGCGCAAGCCUGACCCAGCGACGCCGCGUGAGUGAAGGAGCGUUUCGGCGCGUAAAGCCCUAUCCUCAGGGACGAAGAAGGACGGUACCUGACUGAGAAGCCCCGGCUAACUACGUGCCAGCGGCCGCGGUAAUACGUAGGGGGCAAACGUUAUCCGGGUUUAGUGGGUGUAAAGGGGGCGCAGACGGGAGCGCAAGCGAGGGGUGAAAACCCGGGGCCCAACCCCGGGACUGCUCUUGGAACUGCGCGGCUGGAGUGCAGGAGGGGCAGGCGGAAUUCCUGGUGUAGCGGUGAAAUGCGUAGAUAUAAGGAGGAACACCAGUGGCGAAGGCGGACUGCUGGACUGCGACUGACGUUGAGGCCCGAAAGCGUGGGGAGCAAACAGGAUUAGAUACCCUAGUAGUC